AACGAACGCUGGCGGCAGGCCUAACACAUGCAAGUCGAGCGAGGACUUCGGUUCUAGCGGCGGACGGGUGAGUAACGCGUGGGAAUGUGCCCUUCUCUACGGAAUAGCCCUGGGAAACUGGGAGUAAUACCGUAUACGCCCUAUUGGGGAAAGAUUUAUCGGAGAAGGAUCAGCCCGCGUUGGAUUAGGUAGUUGGUGGGGUAAUGGCCUACCAAGCCGACGAUCCAUAGCUGGUUUGAGAGGAUGAUCAGCCACACUGGGACUGAGACACGGCCCAGAAUCCUACGGGAGGCAGCAGUGGGGAAUCUUAGACAAUGGGGGCAACCCUGAUCUAGCCAUGGCGCGUGAGUGAUGAAGGCCUUAGGGUUGUAAAGCUCUUUCAGCUGGGAAGAUAAUGACGGUACCAGCAGAAGAAGCCCCGGCUAACUCCGUG
Molecule: ribosomal RNA, 433 nt
Filed under: uncultured bacterium
Lineage: Bacteria
Description: partial 16S ribosomal RNA
Rfam family: Bacterial small subunit ribosomal RNA
Source: RNAcentral